GAGCAAUGAUGGAAAGAUUUUACUACUGUCAUUUACAACUAUUAAUGUUUCUACACUUGAUCUGAGCUCA
This is a small nucleolar RNA of Herpailurus yagouaroundi (jaguarundi), 70 nucleotides long. RefSeq annotates it as small nucleolar RNA U2-30. The transcript has a single exon. NCBI's taxonomy places the organism in Eukaryota, Metazoa, Chordata, Mammalia, Carnivora, Felidae. The record is from RefSeq and is a predicted model, not a curated record.